AUUGAACGCUAGCGGCAGGCCUAACACAUGCAAGUCGAGCGAGCGGCGGACGGGUGAGUAAUGUAUGGGGACUGCCCGAUAGAGGGGGAUAACUACUGGAAACGGUAGCUAAUACCGCAUACUAUCGGAUAACCCAUAUGGGAUUAGCUAGUAGGUGAGGUAACGGCUCGCGUAGGCAACGCUCCCUAGCUGGUCUGAGCGGAUGAUCAGGCAGACGGGGAAUAAGACAGGGCCCAGACUCCCACGGAGGCAGCAGUGGGGAAUAUUGCACAAUGGGCGCAAGCCUGAUGCAGCCAUGCCGCGUGUAUGAAGAAGGCCCUAGGGUUGUAAAGUACUUUCAGUCGGGAGGCGUUACCGACAGAAGAAGCACCGGCUAAAUCCGUGCCAGCAGGCGCGGUAAUUC
RNAcentral lists this ribosomal RNA (403 nucleotides) under uncultured bacterium. RNAcentral's name for it is "partial 16S ribosomal RNA". It matches the Rfam family "Bacterial small subunit ribosomal RNA", at positions 30 to 526 of the family's 1533-position model. The record is from RNAcentral.